RNAcentral lists this long non-coding RNA (3675 nucleotides) under Sus scrofa (pig). RNAcentral describes it as "lncRNA (ENSSSCG00040015051.1)". The record is from RNAcentral. Lineage: Eukaryota; Metazoa; Chordata; Mammalia; Artiodactyla; Suidae.
GAGCUAAGACUGCGCCGCAAUGCUGAGCAGGUUCCUGGGUCCGCGCUACCGCGAGCUGGCCAGAAACUGGAUUCCCACGGCCAGCAUGUGGGGUGCUGUGGGUGCCGUGGGGCUGGUAUGGGCCACUGACUGGCGGCUGAUUCUGGAUUGGGUGCCCUACAUCAAUGGCAAGUUUAAGAAGGAAGAUUAAACUGAGCCCCCUCAGACCCCUCUGGCAUCUGGUGGUGCUGCCUCCUUCAUCUGCAUCUGGAAUAGCCCAGGCUCUCAGGAUGGACUUCGGGGAAGUACACAACAAAUAGACUUUCUAUGUUGUGGAAAUCGCUUUGGUGUGUGAAUGCACAGCAUUAAACUUGUUCUGAAACCUGCCCACCUGGAUGUGCUUAUGCUGGGGCCUGGUUGUCUUGACUGCAGGCCCAGGGCCCUGAGAGAUCCUGGGAUCCUUUUAGCUCCCAAACUGUGCAAAUGUAGGCAUUUCCCAGUGGCUGGAAGACAUGGCUUGCUGGUUUAAAAUGUUCAGUGGAUAAUCCCUGCAGAGUGAUUUUUAUUUGUUGCUGCCCUAAAACAAACAUUUAUCAUCUCCCAGGAAGGAUUUGGGAGUGAUGGGGGUGGGGGGGAAUCUGGUUGAGGGACCUUUGCAAGGUUGCAGUCGAGGCCUUGGCCUCAUCUGAAGGCCUGACAGGAGCUGGAAUUGCAUCACCAGGAUACAAACAUGAACAGGUACAUGAGGCUAUGGGGUAUACAAGCAGUUCCUGCCAACUCUUGCCAAGUUCUUGAAGAUUCUAGAAACAUUCUCUGUGAAAACAGCUCUUUUUGUCAGUCUGCUCCGAGCACUGCCACAACAAAACACAGGCUGGGCGCUUUAACAACAGCAUGGGUAUCUCACAGUUAUGGAGGCUGAAGGUCCCAGGUCAGGAUCUGGCAGCACCUGUCUCUGGUGAGGCUCUGCUUCCUGGCCCUUGGAUGGCUGCCUUCUCACUGUCCUCACAUGGCCUUUCCUUGACAUGACAAGUGAGCUUUCAGUGACUUAGGGUGCACUAAUUCUACAGGAUUGGGGCCACACCCUUCCAACCUCAUUUGACCUUAAUUAUGUCCUCCAGGGCUCCAUCUCCAGAUGCAGCCAUACUGGAGGUUAGGGAUUCAACAUACGCAUUUUAGGGAGACGCAUACAUCUGGUCCAUAACACCUUUAUAUAUUUAAACACAAGUAGUGGCAUUUGCUACACACUUUGCUGCACAAACUUUUUUUAUCCAAAGCUUAUUUCCUGGAAGCUAUGCCACUUAAAAAAGCACACAAGGAGUUCCCACUGUGGCUCAGCAGAAACAAAUCUGACAACAUCCAUGAGGACGCAGGUUCAAUCCCUGGCCUCACUCAGUUGGUUAAGGAUCCAGCAUUGCCGUGAACUGUGUUGUUAAGUUGCAGACAUGGCUUGGACCCACGAAUUGUGGCUGUGCUGUAGGCCAGUGGCUACAGCUCCCAUUUGACCCCUAGCCUGGGAACCUCCAUAUGCCACAGGUAUGGCCCUAAAAAGACACACACACAAGAAAGCACAUGCAUCAUCAAAAAUUCUACAAAGGAGUUCCCUGGUGGCUCAACAGGUUAACAAUCUGACACAGUGUCCAUGAUAAAGGCCAUCCAGCCUUGCUGUGAGCUGUGGUGUAGGUAGAAGGCACAGCUUGCAUCCCAUGGGGCUGUGGCUAUGGCGUGGGCUGGCGGCUGCAGCUCCCAUUCACCCAGCCUGAGAACUUCCAUGUGCUGAGGGUGUAGCCCUAAAAAAAAAAGUCUACAAAUAAAUUCUGGAGAGGGUGCAGAGAAAAGGGGAACCCUCCUACACUGUUGGUGGGAAUGUAAUUUGGCCCAGCCACUAUAAAAAACAGUAUGGAGAUACCUUAAAAAACUGAAAAUAGGAGUUCGCUUCAUGGCACAGUGGUUAACGAAUCCGACUAGGACCAUGAGGUUGCAAGUUUGAUCCCUACCCUCACUCAGUGGGUUAAGGAUCUGGCACUGCCGUGAUCCCUAGCUCUUAUUGACCCCUAGCCUGGGAAUUUGCAUAAACCAUGCAUGCAGCCCUAAAAGGCAAAAACAAACAAACAAACAAACAAAAAAAAACAGCAUCCUUAGUUUUUAAGUUUUUAAGCAGCUGCCUAGUACCAACGUUAUUAACAAGUCUAUUAGCAAGAGACAUUAAUUUCCUGUCAUUUGCCAUUUUAACAGUAUCCAUGGAGUGAUGUUAUUUCAGACAAAUGAACAGAUGCCACUUAAAAACCUGUAAGUUUGUGAGAAAAGGUACUCUUGAUUUUUUUUUUUUUUUUUUAACAAUUUCUAGGAAGUGUCAGGAGUUCCCGUCGUGGCUCAGUGGUUAAUGAAUCCGACUAGGAACCAUGAGGUUUCGGGUUCGAUCCCUGGCCUUGCUCAGUGGGUUGAGGAUCCGGCAUUGCCGUGAGCUGUGGUGUAGGUUGCAGACGUGGCUCAGGUCCUGCAUUGCUGUGGCUCUGGUGUAGGCUGGCAGCUACAGCUCUGAUUAGACCCCUAGCCUGGGAACAUCCAUAUGCUGUGGGAGCGGCCCUAGAAAAGGCAGAAAGACAAAAAAAAAAAAAAAAAAAAAAAAUUUCUAGGAAGUGCCCAGGUGGCAGAGUGGCUUAAGCAUCCAGCAUUGCUGCAGCUGCAGCUGCAGCUCAAGUUCAAUCCCUGAUCCCUGGCCCAAGAAUUUCCACACACAGCCAUUAUGGCCUAAAAACAAACAAAACCCCGCUCCUGCACUGGCCCACGCCUGAGGUAUAUAGGUCCCAGCCACAGAUGCAGCCUGACCCUUAACCCACUGCCCCACAGUGGGAACUCUGAAAGAAACAAUUUCUUCACACAGGUGAAGACAUUCCCACAGUCCCCCAUCAAAGCCCUGGACAAAAGGAAACGUGAGGAGUUCCCAUCAUGGCGCAGCAGAAACAAAUCCAACUAGGAACCAUGAGGUUGCAGGUUCAAUCCCUGGCCUCACUCAGUGGUUUAAGGAUCCAGUGUUCCCAUGAGCUGUGGUGUAGUUUGCAGACAUGACUCGGAUCCAGCUUUGCUGUGGCUGUGGCCAGCAGAUGUAGCUCCGAUUUGACCCCUAGCCUGGGAACCUCCAUAUACCUCAGGUGUGGCCCCCCCAAAAAAAAGAAAGUGUGAGCCCCUAACACAGGAGUUUUUAAUGUAUUUCUAUAAUGGCUAAUGGGUUUGGGGUUUUUUGAUAACAGUUAAUGGUUUUUUGUUUUUGUUACUUGCCACACCCAUGGUAUGUGCAAAUUUCAAAUUCUGAGCCAGGGAUGCAACCUGCACCACAGCAGUGAUGUCAGAUCCUUAACCUACUGAGCAGCAAGGGAACUCCAUUUGGCUUUAAUGAAAACAUAUAUGAGUUUGUUUCUGUGAACACCAGGAAAAGCAAAACUGGGGAGUUCCCGUCGUGGUGCAGUGGUUAAGGAAUCCGACCAGGAACCAUGAGGUCUUGGGUUCGAUCCCUGCCCUUGCUCAGUGGGUUAACGAUCAGGCGUUGCCGUGAGCUGUGGUGUAGGCUGCAGACGCGGCUCGGAUCCCGUGUUGCUGUGGCUCUGGUGUAGGCCAGUGGCUACAGCUCCGAUUCGACCCCUAGCCUGGGAACCUCCAUAUGCCGCAGGAGCGGCCCAAAGAAAUAGCAAAAAAAAAAAA